RNAcentral lists this ribosomal RNA (253 nucleotides) under uncultured bacterium. Its description in RNAcentral is "partial 16S ribosomal RNA". It matches the Rfam family "Bacterial small subunit ribosomal RNA", at positions 524 to 776 of the family's 1533-position model. The record is from RNAcentral.
UACGUAGGGGGCUAGCGUUGUCCGGAUUUAUUGGGCGUAAAGAGCGUGUAGGCGGCCAGGUAGGUCUGGUGUGAAAACUCGAGGCUUAACCUCGAGAUGUCAUCGGAAACCAUCUGGCUAGAGUCCGGAAGAGGAGAGUGGAAUUCCUGGUGUAGUGGUGAAAUGCGUAGAUAUCGGGAGGAACACCAGUGGCGAAGGCGACUUCCUGGCCUGUUCUUGACGCUGAGGCGCGAAAGCUAGGGGAGCAAACGGG